GACGAACGCUGGCGGCGUGCUUAACACAUGCAAGUCGAACGGUGAAGCGCCUUCCUUUUUGGUGGGUGAGGAUGAGUGGCGAACGGGUGAGUAACACGUGAGUAACCUGCCCCCUUCUUCUGGAUAACCGCAUGAAAGUGUGGCUAAUACGGGAUAUUCUGGGUCUGUCGCAUGAUGGGUCUGGGAAAGAUAUUGUUUCGGUGGGGAUGGGCUCGCGGCCUAUCAGCUUGUUGGUGGGGUGAUGGCCUACCAAGGCGGUGACGGGUAGCCGGCCUGAGAGGGUGGACGGUCACACUGGGACUGAGACACGGCCCAGACUCCUACGGGAGGCAGCAGUGGGGAAUAUUGCACAAUGGGCGCAAGCCUGAUGCAGCGACGCCGCGUGAGGGAUGGAGGCCUGCGGGUUGUGAACCUCUUUCGCCAGUGAAGCAGGCCUGCCUCGUUUGUGGGUGGGUUGACGGUAGCUGGAUAAGAAGCGCCGGCUAACUACGUG
Molecule: ribosomal RNA, 493 nt
Filed under: uncultured bacterium
Lineage: Bacteria
Description: partial 16S ribosomal RNA
Rfam family: Bacterial small subunit ribosomal RNA
Source: RNAcentral